UUCCACAAAGCAGUAUCUGUCCCUCAUUCCUUUAGGAACAGGAAUAAGUCUAUAACAUGCAAUAUUUAGGGCUGCCAAUCUUAGAGCAAAGGUUAUAUCGUAGUGUGUGUCUUCUACAAAC
Small nucleolar RNA from Nannospalax galili (Upper Galilee mountains blind mole rat), 121 nucleotides. RefSeq annotates it as small nucleolar RNA U109. Lineage: Eukaryota; Metazoa; Chordata; Mammalia; Rodentia; Spalacidae. The transcript has a single exon. The record is from RefSeq and is a predicted model, not a curated record.